This 431-nucleotide ribosomal RNA is filed under the name Khorata dupla. Its description in RNAcentral is "partial 16S ribosomal RNA". It matches the Rfam family "Archaeal large subunit ribosomal RNA", at positions 1921 to 2666 of the family's 2987-position model. Lineage: Eukaryota; Metazoa; Arthropoda; Arachnida; Araneae; Pholcidae. The record is from RNAcentral.
UUCUUUAAGAAAAUAAUUUAAAGUAAAACCUGCUCAAUGUACAUAUAUAUAAAUAGCCGCAGAAUAACUGUGCUAAGGUAGCAUAAUAAUUUGCUUUAUAAUUAAAAGAUAGAAUGAACGGUUAAACGAUAAAACACUGUUUCUUAUAAAAAAUUUAAUCUGAUAAUAAGGUUAAAACCCCUUAAUAAUAUAAUAAGACGACAAGACCCUGAUAAACUUAAACAAUUAGUUGGGGUGACAUAUUAAUUAUAUCUUAGUAAAUAAAAUAAACAAAACCUAAAAACAGAAAAAGACAAGUUACUACAGGGAUAACAGCGCAAUUUCUUUUAAAAGCUCUAAUUUAAAAAGAAGAUUACGACCUCGAUGUUGAAUUAUUUUAACUAUUUGGCGCAAAAGCUAAAAAAGAAAGUCUGUUCGACUAUUAAUAAAAU